This is a long non-coding RNA of Cryptotermes secundus, 2005 nucleotides long. RefSeq lists it as uncharacterized. The transcript has 6 exons. The record is from RefSeq and is a predicted model, not a curated record. Lineage: Eukaryota; Metazoa; Arthropoda; Insecta; Blattodea; Kalotermitidae.
UUGAGCUAUGGGGAGGCACUGCCAGUGGCCUUGGAACAGAAUCCAGAUUUUCGUGCAUAAUAUUACAGACAUGCGUAUGAGUAAUAGUAUGAGGGGUGAGCCAUAAAAUUGGCCUUCGAGCUGCGACCUUCAAUGAUCUAUUGUGCUUCCCCUAUGGAUUAAUAUUACAGACGUACGUACGUUUCAGUGGGUGCAAGUUUAUGAUGGCACGUCAGUAUGUUGGUAACUGAUACAUUACGCUUUUACAUGAUGAAAGCCACAUAAGGUAAACUAUAAGCUAUACUGUUGAAAACACAGAAAGACUGCACGUGUUCAUCUCUUGACAGCCGCAAAAACUGUGACGGUGGUGUAAGUUGCCCAUCACAGUGGAGGUGUAAACUCGGCCAACCUAACCUAUUAGGAGUCGAUGUAAAUGAGAAGCUCAGACAAGUGACCGGGAGGAAAAAGAAGUGAUGUGCGGGAGCAAGUGGGUGCAGGAAGGAGGAGUGGAUUUGAUUCUACAUACGUGGUAUGCGCCUGUUGUUCAAGAGAAUCCAUGUCCUCCCAGAUAACAUUAUGGGUCUGAAUAUCAGUUCCAUUUCGGUGCUGGCACCAUGAUCUGCAGGAAACCAGGGCAGUGUGUGGAAGAGUGGUAAUUUAACUCCAAGAUUAUGUGCAGUUCCCUAGACCUCCAGUGUUACCAGAUGUAAACCAGGCCAGUCUUCAGGAAUACUAAGCACUGUGAAGUAUAGAAUUUUGUUGAUGAGAGUUACAAGUGGUGUGUAGAGUUUGACUGGAUUUCUUUAGACUUGAUUGAGUUUGAUGCUGGUUAUAUACAGUAGAUUAUUCUAGUGAGAGGAACAAAGUAAGUAUUCAGUGGCAGGUUGAGGUGUAAGGUUAACUGGAGUAUGUUGGACACAUUACACUCGUCUUGAUUAAUGUUUAUGAAGCAUGUCAUUGAGCAUCUUAUCAUCCCACAACUGUGCAGAAGUAAUGAUGAAAUUUAGUUUAAUGGAAUACAUUUAGACAUCAGAUAUUAAUAUUGUCCCUUGGUUUUACUGGAAAUGCACUGAUAACAUUGCCUAGUAUUUCCAUUCUGCUCUGCUAGCGUGAAGAUUAUAUCGCUCUUAAUGAUUAUGUGUGCUUAUACAUAACAUAUGUGAAUGCAGUUGUCCUCAGUUUUUGUUUAUAUUAGAGACAUGAUUAUUGCUUCGCUAAAACUUAGUGAAGACAUUAAUUGACUGAUUGAAUGUUAAGAAGCAGUGCUGUGGCAGCAGAAUGUGAAGGUUGGAAGUCACGGUCACGGAGAUGUUCAUUGGAUGUAAUGUAUAGCCAGUUGAGUUGACCUGUGAUCCAGAUAUCUGCUUAUUGAUACCUCCUGUUUUAAUGUUAUUCUACCAAGAGGUGUUCCAUCUUGCAAGGAUCCACUUUCCAGGAGGUUUCCCCACAGAAAAUUUGAGGGAGUUCCUAGUGCUGCCAAGAAGAACAUUGAAUAAGAAGAUCAAGGUGUUGCUGGAGAUGAGUAUGGAGCCAAAGAUUAUCGGUUGCAAAUUGUUCUGAAGACCGACCAUGAGUCACGGCUAUUGUGGGUGGCUCCUAAUGGACAUAUUUUCUUGGAGUCAUUUUCUCCAGUGUAUAAACAUGCACAUGACUUUCUGAUAGCAAUAUCGGAACCUUUGUGUCGCCCAGAACACAUUCAUGAGGUAAGAACUUCAUUAAUUUCAUUACUGCAUCGUUUUCGCUGUCUCUUUGAGUGGUGGACACAGUUGAUCCAUUAUAAUUACAGUAGAUUCAUGAUUGUUCAGUAGCAGAUUAUCUGGGGCUUUUUGUAGAAAAUUGACUGAUGUGUCCAAUAUCAAAAGUAAACUUGAUUUUUACACAGAGAAAUGGCACAGGAGCUUCACAGAAACACACUUCUAUCAAUGGUACUGACUACUUACUUAGGCCAUGACAUAGGUCAAGCAGUUAGUCGCUGGCUUCCCACUGCUGUGGCCCAGGUUUGAUCCCGGGUCUGGUCAAGCGAGGU